RNAcentral lists this transfer RNA (72 nucleotides) under Heterocephalus glaber (naked mole-rat). It matches the Rfam family "tRNA". Rfam says of the family: Transfer RNA (tRNA) molecules are approximately 80 nucleotides in length. Lineage: Eukaryota; Metazoa; Chordata; Mammalia; Rodentia; Bathyergidae. The record is from Rfam by way of RNAcentral.
CGGGAUAUAGCUCAGUGGUAGAGUGCUUGCCUAGCAUGCAUGAAGCCCUGAGUGCAAUCCUUAGUGUUGCCA